UUUCGCAAUGCCCGAAAGGGUGACGAAGCGACGCCGCGUGGGUGAGGAAGGCCUUCGGGUUGUAAAGCCCUGUCAGGAGUUAAGAAAUGUAAGUGCGCUAAUACCGCAUUUAUUUGACGAAGGCUCCAAAGGAAGUCACGGCUAACUCUGUGCCAGCAGCCGCGGUAAUACAGAGGUGGCAAGCGUUGUUCGGAAUUAUUGGGCGUAAAGAGCACGUAGGUGGGUUUGUAAGUCAGAUGUGAAAGCCUCCCGUUCAACGGGAGAAUUGCAUCUGAAACUACAGAUCUUGAGUGUAGGAGGGGAGAAUGGAACUUCUGGUGGAGCGGUGAAAUGCGUAGAUAUCAGAAGGAACGCCGGCGGCGAAAGCGAUUCUCUGGCCUAUUACUGACACUCAGUGUGCGAAAGCUAGGGUAGCAAACGGGAUUAGAUACCCCGGUAGUCCUAGCCGUAAACGAUGGGCACUAAGUAGAGGGGUUUUA
Molecule: ribosomal RNA, 479 nt
Filed under: uncultured anaerobic ammonium-oxidizing bacterium
Lineage: Bacteria
Description: bacterial SSU rRNA
Rfam family: Bacterial small subunit ribosomal RNA
Source: RNAcentral